AACGAACGCUGGCGGCAUGCCUAACACAUGCAAGUCGAACGAAGUCUUCGGACUUAGUGGCGCACGGGUGCGUAACGCGUGGGAAUCUGCCCUUGGGUGCGGAAUAACUUCUCGAAAGGGAUGCUAAUACCGCAUAAUGUCGUAAGACCAAAGAUUUAUCGCCCAAGGAUGAGCCCGCGUAAGAUUAGCUAGUUGGUGGGGUAAAAGCCUACCAAGGCGACGAUCUUUAGCUGGUCUGAGAGGAUGAUCAGCCACACUGGGACUGAGACACGGCCCAGACUCCUACGGGAGGCAGCAGUGGGGAAUAUUGGACAAUGGGCGAAAGCCUGAUCCAGCAAUGCCGCGUGAGUGAUGAAGGCCCUAGGGUUGUAAAGCUCUUUUGUGCGGGAAGAUAAUGACGGUACCGCAAGAAUAAGCCCCGGCUAACUUCGUGCCAGCAGCCGCGGUAAU
Molecule: ribosomal RNA, 450 nt
Filed under: uncultured bacterium
Lineage: Bacteria
Description: bacterial SSU rRNA
Rfam family: Bacterial small subunit ribosomal RNA
Source: RNAcentral